Non-coding RNA from Pocillopora verrucosa, 1597 nucleotides. NCBI's taxonomy places the organism in Eukaryota, Metazoa, Cnidaria, Anthozoa, Scleractinia, Pocilloporidae. The record is from RefSeq and is a predicted model, not a curated record.
CGGUCUGCAAUGGCCCUACCACCUUUUGAACAACAAGAAAACAUUGAAACGGUGGUAAAAAGCAGCAAGUUUCGAAGUCUAAACGAAAGAUGGGUGGUCAUUAUCCAUUACUUUUGGAAGUCGAUGCUGAUGAGAAAGAAAAAAUGUUUAUGAUUAUUUCUUCUCUCGAACAUUUUACUAUUUAGGUACCAAAUAAUCUUGAUACUGAAGAUCAUUGCAUCCAUUAUGAAAAAAUUACCCUUGAUUGCUUUGUCAACUGGAAUGUAUAAUGUAAUAUACCUUGUGAUUUGUGGGAUUUUCACAAGUAAACUAGAAAUACUUGAAGAGGGUGAUGAUGUACUUAAUGCAGAGCAUUUGGUACAAAGUCUGCUUUGCUGUAAUCUACCUGAAGGUGCUUUUUAUAUGCUAGUAAGACUUGCACAGCCCAGUCAAAAUGUUUUUGAGUAGUAGAAAAGCUGGCCAAACCUCUUCCUGAAAAGCAGUCUGAAAAAUGUGAAGUUAGCGGAAGGUACUUCAUUGUAGGCGGCCAAAUUGUAAGCUGCCAGCCCAUUUUGAGUGAGCAGUAAAACUCAAGAUUGGCUAUUUUAGCUAAUUUUAUUGAGAACCAAAUUCCCAGCAACGGGCACAAUUUUACUGGGCUAUUUGUUAUUUAACUACUUAGUAAUAUUCUUAUUAAAAUUUACUGCAUUCCUUUCUAAUAAUUUGCUGCUGAUUGUAUGCUGUAUAUAGCUUAUGAUUUGUGUGAUUUUCACAAGUAAAUUAGAAAUACCUGAAGAUGGUAAUGAUGUACUAGAUAAUGUACUUGAUGCAAAGCUAUUUUGGUGCAAAGUGUGUGCCUUGUCCGUAGGUGAUUUUGCAUGCUAAUAAGACUUGUAAUUCAAAUAAUACACAUCAGCUGGAGUGGGAAUAUUAAAAGAAAAAUAAUAAUAUUUAGCUAUACCAAGUUCUGGUUUUAUGUCCAAAGUGUGUGCCUUGUCCGUAGGUGAUUUUGCAUGCUAAUAAGACUUGUAAUUCAAAUAAUACACAUCAGCUGGAGUGGGAAUAUUAAAAGAAAAAUAAUAAUAUUUAGCUAUACCAAGUUCUGGUUUUAUGUCCAAAUUAAGCACUUAGUUGAAGAUCACUGCACUGCUCAGGUCCAGAAGGCUGAAAGAGUACUGUCUGCUGUUAGUUUGAUUUUUGUCAUUUCUAUUGAUUUAUUUUAUUUAUCAAUGUUUCUUUGAAUUGUAAUUCAUUGAUCUCUUUCAAUAGUGCAGGUUCGCUCAUGUAACCUAAUCUCCCACUUAUGUAUGUAUGUAUGGAUGAGCUCAGUCAAAAUGUUUUUGAGUGGAAGGCAAGCUGGUGAUAGUAAUAGGCAGCAGAGGCUGAACCUUGUCUUGAAUGGAAGUGUGAAAAGUGUGAAGUUAGCGGCAGCUAUAUUGUGGCAGGCAGCCAAAUUGUCAGCUGUGGCACAUUUUGACUGGGCUGAUUGUGUGUAGUAUAUAUGUGCACUUCUUUUAGGGUGUUAAACAGGUUAAAGUACCAAGAAAUCCUCUGUGAUAACUUGAUAAUUCAAGAUGUAAAAAUUUUAAAUAAUAAGGUAAAGCUUGAUCAUUCUUAA